CUGCUGCCUUCCGUAGGAGUCUGGGCCGUGUCUCAGUCCCAAUGUGGCCGGCCAACCUCUCAGUCCGGCUACUGAUCGUCGCCUUGGUGGGCCGUUACCCCGCCAACCAGCUAAUCAGACGCGAGCUCAUCUCAGAGCGAUAAAUCUUUGGCGUCCAGAGAGAUGCCUCCCAGACGCGUCAUGCGGUAUUAGCGGCUGUUUCCAGCCGUUAUUCCCCACUCCAAGGCAGAUUGCU
This 235-nucleotide ribosomal RNA is filed under the name uncultured bacterium. RNAcentral describes it as "partial 16S ribosomal RNA". The record is from RNAcentral.